This 253-nucleotide ribosomal RNA is filed under the name uncultured bacterium. RNAcentral's name for it is "partial 16S ribosomal RNA". It matches the Rfam family "Bacterial small subunit ribosomal RNA", at positions 524 to 776 of the family's 1533-position model. The record is from RNAcentral.
UACGGGGGGGGCAAGCGUUGUUCGGAAUUACUGGGCGUAAAGGGCUCGUAGGCGGCCAACUAAGUCAUACGUGAAAUCCCUCGGCUUAACCGGGGAACUGCGUCUGAUACUGGAUGGCUUGAGUUCGGGAGAGGGAUGCGGAAUUCCAGGUGUAGCGGUGAAAUGCGUAGAUAUCUGGAGGAACACCGGCGGCGAAGGCGGCAUCCUGGACCGAUACUGACGCUGAUGAGCGAAAGCCAGGGGAGCAAACGGG